Molecule: ribosomal RNA, 1372 nt
Filed under: Salmonella enterica
Lineage: Bacteria; Pseudomonadati; Pseudomonadota; Gammaproteobacteria; Enterobacterales; Enterobacteriaceae
Description: partial 23S ribosomal RNA
Rfam family: Bacterial large subunit ribosomal RNA
Source: RNAcentral
CGGUGCUGAAGCAACAAAUGCCCUGCUUCCAGGAAAAGCCUCUAAGCAUCAGGUAACACGAAAUCGUACCCCAAACCGACACAGGUGGUCAGGUAGAGAAUACCAAGGCGCUUGAGAGAACUCGGGUGAAGGAACUAGGCAAAAUGGUGCCGUAACUUCGGGAGAAGGCACGCUGACACGUAGGUGAAGUGAUUUACUCAUGGAGCUGAAGUCAGUCGAAGAUACCAGCUGGCUGCAACUGUUUAUUAAAAACACAGCACUGUGCAAACACGAAAGUGGACGUAUACGGUGUGACGCCUGCCCGGUGCCGGAAGGUUAAUUGAUGGGGUCAGCGUAAGCGAAGCUCCUGAUCGAAGCCCCGGUAAACGGCGGCCGUAACUAUAACGGUCCUAAGGUAGCGAAAUUCCUUGUCGGGUAAGUUCCGACCUGCACGAAUGGCGUAAUGAUGGCCAGGCUGUCUCCACCCGAGACUCAGUGAAAUUGAACUCGCUGUGAAGAUGCAGUGUACCCGCGGCAAGACGGAAAGACCCCGUGAACCUUUACUAUAGCUUGACACUGAACAUUGAGCCUUGAUGUGUAGGAUAGGUGGGAGGCUUUGAAGUGUGGACGCCAGUCUGCAUGGAGCCGACCUUGAAAUACCACCCUUUAAUGUUUGAUGUUCUAACGUGGACCCGUAAUCCGGGUUGCGGACAGUGUCUGGUGGGUAGUUUGACUGGGGCGGUCUCCUCCUAAAGAGUAACGGAGGAGCACGAAGGUUGGCUAAUCCUGGUCGGACAUCAGGAGGUUAGUGCAAUGGCAUAAGCCAGCUUGACUGCGAGCGUGACGGCGCGAGCAGGUGCGAAAGCAGGUCAUAGUGAUCCGGUGGUUCUGAAUGGAAGGGCCAUCGCUCAACGGAUAAAAGGUACUCCGGGGAUAACAGGCUGAUACCGCCCAAGAGUUCAUAUCGACGGCGGUGUUUGGCACCUCGAUGUCGGCUCAUCACAUCCUGGGGCUGAAGUAGGUCCCAAGGGUAUGGCUGUUCGCCAUUUAAAGUGGUACGCGAGCUGGGUUUAGAACGUCGUGAGACAGUUCGGUCCCUAUCUGCCGUGGGCGCUGGAGAACUGAGGGGGGCUGCUCCUAGUACGAGAGGACCGGAGUGGACGCAUCACUGGUGUUCGGGUUGUCAUGCCAAUGGCACUGCCCGGUAGCUAAAUGCGGAAGAGAUAAGUGCUGAAAGCAUCUAAGCACGAAACUUGCCCCGAGAUGAGUUCUCCCUGAGACUUAGAGUCUCCUGAAGGAACGUUGAAGACGACGACGUUGAUAGGCCGGGUGUGUAAGCGCAGCGAUGCGUUGAGCUAACCGGUACUAAUGAACCGUGAGGCUUAACCUUACA